GAGACAAAACUCAAUUUUGUGAGACAAAAUUCAAUUUUGUCAAUUUUGUCUCACAAAAGUCAAUUUUGUCUCACAAAAGUCAAUUUUGUCUCACAAAAGUC
RNAcentral lists this small RNA (101 nucleotides) under Mytilus galloprovincialis (Mediterranean mussel). Lineage: Eukaryota; Metazoa; Mollusca; Bivalvia; Mytilida; Mytilidae. The record is from RNAcentral.